UACGUAGGGGGCAAGCGUUAUUCGGAAUUACUGGGUGUAAAGGGCGUGUAGGCGGUCUCACAAGUCCGAUUUUAAAGACCGAGGCUUAACCUUGGGAGUUAGUUGGAUACUGUGAGGCUAGACGGUCGGGGAGGGCAGCGGAAUUCUCUGAGUAGCGGUGAAAUGCGCAGAUACCGAGAGGAACGCCAAUAGCGAAGGCAGCUGCCUGGUCUAUUGGUGACGAUGAGGCGCGAAAGCGUGGGGAGCAAACCGG
Molecule: ribosomal RNA, 253 nt
Filed under: uncultured bacterium
Lineage: Bacteria
Description: partial 16S ribosomal RNA
Rfam family: Bacterial small subunit ribosomal RNA
Source: RNAcentral